Molecule: long non-coding RNA, 969 nt
Filed under: Callithrix jacchus (white-tufted-ear marmoset)
Lineage: Eukaryota; Metazoa; Chordata; Mammalia; Primates; Cebidae
Description: lncRNA (ENSCJAG00000061077.2)
Source: RNAcentral
AGACAGGGUCCUGUUCUGUCUCCCAGGCUGGAGUUCAGUGGUAUAAUUAUAAUUCACUGGAGCCCACAACUCUGGGCUCAAGCAAUCUUCCUGCCUCAACCUCCCAAGCAGCUGGGACUACAGGUACACACCACCUCACCUGGCUAAUUUUUAUAUUUUUUGUAGAGAAUGGGUCUCGCUUUGUUGCUCAGGCUAGUCUCGAACUCUCGGUUUCAAGUGAUCUUUCUACCUGGGGCUCCCAAUGUGUGAAGAUUCAGGCCUGAGCCAUCACAUACCCAGCUGACAUUGUUGUAACCAAAUAUCCUGACCUACUUUCUGCUAAAAGUCACCCUACUUUCCUAUUUACAUAGAAAUAUUAUCAUAAACUCCUUUGAAUGAGCAACUGCCUAUUUUAGGAAAUCAGUGACUGUACUUAUAUGGGUCACGGCUUCCUUCCUCAGCAAAUAUUCCCAGGUCGAUCUUCAGUUCAGGCAGAGGACGCUGGGCAGUAUUCAGAGCUGUUUCCUUUACUGCCUGAGCUGUUUGGUCAUGUCUGAACUGCUGCUGAUGAAGCCUUUUCUGGCAGGUUGCCCGGGGAGCAGCUCUCCUGUAGAUUCCGCCUCUCUCCAGGAGUCGCCUGCCUUCAGUAUAAUGGGCAACAUUGAAAGCAGCAAGGCGUUCGGUCGACAAGGAAUGGGUAUGAGAUCCAAUUCCAUAUAAUGUAAGAUGGUGACAGAUAUGUGGGAAGUUUCUGAAACUAUGAGGAUCCAGUUGCUCCCUCCUACCAAAUGUGAACAAGAAAGCACCGCAACUCUGACUGGUACUGUGGCCAUCCUGUGAUUAACGUGGAAUGGACUUCAGCACUGAGCUUUCAUUCUGAAGGCAGAGUGAAAAGACUAAUAGAACUUAGACCUAGGUCGAUGUAUUGAACCAUGGCAUGCAACAAUGCUGAAGCCCUCACUAUAUCUAGACUUUCUGAUAGAUGAGCCA